This 468-nucleotide ribosomal RNA is filed under the name uncultured bacterium. Its description in RNAcentral is "partial 16S ribosomal RNA". It matches the Rfam family "Bacterial small subunit ribosomal RNA", at positions 28 to 507 of the family's 1533-position model. The record is from RNAcentral.
GACGAACGCUGGCGGCGUGCUUAACACAUGCAAGUCGAACGGAAAGGCCCUGCUUUUGUGGGGUGCUCGAGUGGCGAACGGGUGAGUAACACGUGAGUAACCUGCCCUUGACUUUGGGAUAACUUCAGGAAACUGGGGCUAAUACCGGCUAGGAGCUCCUGCUGCAUGGUGGGGGUUGGAAAGUUUCGGCGGUUGGGGAUGGACUCGCGGCUUAUCAGCUUGUUGGUGGGGUAGUGGCUUACCAAGGCUUUGACGGGUAGCCGGCCUGGGAGGGUGACCGGCCACAAUGGGACUGAGAGACGGCCCAGACUCCUACGGGAGGCAGCAGGGGGGAAUAUUGCACAAUGGGCGGAAGCCUGAUGCAGCAACGCCGCGUGCGGGAUGACGGCCUUCGGGUUGUAAACCGCUUUCGCCUGUGACGAAGCGUGAGUGACGGUAAUGGGUAAAGAAGCACCGGCUAACUACGUG